GCCGAAAUAGCUCAGGUGGGAGAGCGUCAGACUGAAGAUCUGAAGGUCCCUGGUUCAAUCCCGGGGUUCGGCA
This 73-nucleotide transfer RNA is filed under the name Dendronephthya gigantea. Its description in RNAcentral is "tRNA-Phe". It matches the Rfam family "tRNA". Rfam says of the family: Transfer RNA (tRNA) molecules are approximately 80 nucleotides in length. Their secondary structure includes four short double-helical elements and three loops (D, anti-codon, and T loops). Lineage: Eukaryota; Metazoa; Cnidaria; Anthozoa; Malacalcyonacea; Nephtheidae. The record is from RNAcentral.